GAUGAACGCUGGCGGCGUGCCUAAUACAUGCAAGUCGAGCGAACAGACGAGGAGCUUGCUCCUCUGACGUUAGCGGCGGACGGGUGAGUAACACGUGGAUAACCUCCCUAUAAGACUGGGAUAAUUUCGGGAAACCGGAGCUAAUACCGGAUAAUAUAUUGAACCGCAUGGUUCAAUAGUGAAAGACGGUUUUGCUGUCACUUAUCGAUGGAUCCGCGCCGCAUUAGCUAGUUGGUAAGGUAACGGCUUACCAAGGCAACGAUGCGUAGCCGAACUGAGAGGGUGAUCGGCCACACUGGAACUUGGACACGGACCAGACUCCUACGGUAGGCAGCAGUAGGGAAUCUUCGGCAAUGGGCGAAAGCCUGACGCAGCGGCGCCACGUGAGUGAUGAAGGUCUUCGGAUCGUAAAGCUCUGUUAUUAGGGAAGAACAAAUGUGGAAGUAACUAUGCACGUCUUGACGGUACCUAAUCAGAAAGCCACGGCUAACUACGUG
Molecule: ribosomal RNA, 497 nt
Filed under: uncultured bacterium
Lineage: Bacteria
Description: partial 16S ribosomal RNA
Rfam family: Bacterial small subunit ribosomal RNA
Source: RNAcentral